GUCCACAUGUCUAAAUGUGUGUUCUGAUGCUCUGAAAUGCAAGAGAUAUAUUAAAUUCUUUGUGAAACAUCACUGUUUGAUAAAGGAUAUCCGUAUUUAGCAUCCUUGUUUUUCUUUGUGCUAAAGUGGAUACAGCUGUUGGGGCAGAAGAGACGGGACCAGCUGCUGGCCACAUUUCCUGCUUUAUUUUAAAAGGUAGUAUAAGAAAUAAGGAAACAGAGGUAAUAUCAGGGCUUCUGCUGUCUUUUAUUUUUAAAAUGUUCAUAAUUAAGUAUUUUCCAGCAGUCCAAAGAUGUAAGUUAUCUUACACAUAAGAUGUUUUAUUUUGUUAUUUGGUUAUGGAAAUGGAAUCUUGUUCUUGCACAACUAACUGUAAAUGUUUUGUUGCUAGAUAAUAUGAUUUUGAGACCUACAUUAGUCUCUGGUUUCAGUAUAUCACAUUUUGUAAAAUUAUCUACUGCACUUGAGCAUGAAUGGGUAGUAGCCAAACUCACAACUUGGAGUGACGGACCUGCUUCUACAAGGGUAGGAACAAGCCCCUACAAUGCAGCUGCAUGGAUUUUAGUGCCUACUGAAUUAUAUAUAUAUACAUAUAUAUAUAAACCAAAAGUAGUUGGAAAUUUAUUUCAAAUGACUAAUUUGUGCUUUUUCUGAAGUAUGUUAAAUGUAGCUUUUGAAACAGAAGCCU
This 688-nucleotide long non-coding RNA is filed under the name Rattus norvegicus (Norway rat). RNAcentral describes it as "long non-coding RNA NONRATT002924". The record is from RNAcentral. Lineage: Eukaryota; Metazoa; Chordata; Mammalia; Rodentia; Muridae.